UACGAAGGUCCCAAGCGUUAUCCGGAUUUAUUGGGUUUAAAGGGUGCGUAGGCGGGUUAUUAAGUCAGUGGUGAAAGCUCCAUGCCUAACAUGGAAAUUGCCAUUGAUACUGAUGAUCUUGAGUACAUUUGAAGUGGGCGGAAUGUGUCAUGUAGUGGUGAAAUACUUAGAUAUGACACAGAACACCGAUUGCGUAGGCAGCUCACUAAACUGUAACUGACGCUGAGGCACGAAAGCGUGGGGAGCAAACAGG
This 253-nucleotide ribosomal RNA is filed under the name uncultured bacterium. RNAcentral's name for it is "partial 16S ribosomal RNA". It matches the Rfam family "Bacterial small subunit ribosomal RNA", at positions 524 to 776 of the family's 1533-position model. The record is from RNAcentral. RNAcentral also lists the same sequence under 1 other name.